This 72-nucleotide transfer RNA is filed under the name Diaphorina citri (Asian citrus psyllid). It matches the Rfam family "tRNA". From Rfam's summary of the family: Transfer RNA (tRNA) molecules are approximately 80 nucleotides in length. Their secondary structure includes four short double-helical elements and three loops (D, anti-codon, and T loops). The record is from Rfam by way of RNAcentral. Lineage: Eukaryota; Metazoa; Arthropoda; Insecta; Hemiptera; Psyllidae.
GCUCCCAUGGCGUAGUGGUCACUGCACUCGCCUUGCACGCGGGAGACCCGGGUUCAAUUCCCGGAGGGGUCA